Molecule: ribosomal RNA, 500 nt
Filed under: Crocidura cf. muricauda
Lineage: Eukaryota; Metazoa; Chordata; Mammalia; Eulipotyphla; Soricidae
Description: partial 16S ribosomal RNA
Rfam family: Bacterial large subunit ribosomal RNA
Source: RNAcentral
CAUUACCAGUAUUAGAGGCACUGCCUGCCCAGUGACAUUAGUUAAACGGCCGCGGUAUCCUGACCGUGCAAAGGUAGCAUAAUCAUUUGUUCCUUARUUAGGGACUUGUAUGAACGGCCCCACGAGGGUUUAACUGUCUCUUACUYCCAAUCAGUGAAAUUGACCUUCCCGUGAAGAGGCGGGAAUACAAAAAUAAGACGAGAAGACCCUAUGGAGCUUAAAUUAACAUGCUCAACAAAAUCCAACUUCACCCAAUAGGAAUAAUYAUACUUUAACUSAGCAUUAAAUUUUGGUUGGGGUGACCUCGGAGUACAACAAAACCUCCGAGAGAUUUAACCAAGACUUACUAGUCAAGGCCACAUAACUCAUUGAUCCAAUCACAUUGAUCAACGAAACAAGUUACCCUAGGGAUAACAGCGCAAUCCUAUUUAAGAGUCCRUAUCRACAAUAGGGUUUACGACCUCGAUGUUGGAUCAGGACACCCAAAUGGUNCAGCAGCU